This 370-nucleotide ribosomal RNA is filed under the name Rozellomycota sp. Its description in RNAcentral is "Cryptomycota sp. partial small subunit ribosomal RNA". It matches the Rfam family "Eukaryotic small subunit ribosomal RNA", at positions 582 to 975 of the family's 1831-position model. Lineage: Eukaryota; Fungi; Rozellomycota. The record is from RNAcentral.
AUUCCAGCUCCAAUAGCGUAUAUUAAAGUUGUUGCAGUUAAAAAGCUCGUAGUUGAACCUUGGACAAAGUGCGCGUGGUCUACCGCAAGGUACGACUGCGGCGCUGCGUCUCUUUAGGGGGACUCGAUGCUUCGGUGUCGAGGUAACCCGUGUUACUGUGAAGAAAUUAGAGUGUUUAAAGCAGGCUAUCGCUUGAAUACAUCAGCAUGGAAUAACAAGUUGGACUUUGCUCCUACUCGUUGGUUUGAGGGGAAAAGUAAUGAUUAAUAGGGCCAGUUGGGGGCAUUAGUAUUCAGUAGUCAGAGGUGAAAUUCUUGGAUUUACUGAAGACUAACUAGUGCGAAAGCAUUUGCCAAGGAUGUUUUCAUCA